AACGAACGCUGGCGGCAGGCCUAACACAUGCAAGUCGAGCGGACCCUUCGGGGUUAGCGGCGGACGGGUGAGUAACGCGUGGGAACGUGCCCUUUGCUUCGGAAUAGCCCUGGGAAACUGGGAGUAAUACCGGAUACGCCCUUUUGGGGAAAGAUUUAUCGGCGAAGGAUCGGCCCGCGUUGGAUUAGGUAGUUGGUGGGGUAAUGGCCUACCAAGCCGACGAUCCAUAGCUGGUUUGAGAGGAUGAUCAGCCACACUGGGACUGAGACACGGCCCAGACUCCUACGGGAGGCAGCAGUGGGGAAUCUUAGACAAUGGGGGAAACCCUGAUCUAGCCAUGCCGCGUGAGCGAUGAAGGCCUUAGAGUUGUAAAGCUCUUUCACCGGGGAAGAUAAUGACGGUACCCGAAGAAGAAGCCCCGGCUAACUCCGUG
RNAcentral lists this ribosomal RNA (433 nucleotides) under uncultured bacterium. RNAcentral's name for it is "partial 16S ribosomal RNA". It matches the Rfam family "Bacterial small subunit ribosomal RNA", at positions 29 to 507 of the family's 1533-position model. The record is from RNAcentral.